AGAGUUUGAUCAUGGCUCAGAGCGAACGCUGGCGGCGUACUUAACACAUGCAAGUCGAACGAGGAUCAUCGGGUUAGCAAUAAUUCGGUGGUCCUAGUGGCGUACGGGUGAGUAACACGUGGGUAACCUGCCCUCGAGUCCGGGAUACCCUCUCGAAAGGGAGGCUAAUACUGGAUACGUUCCCUGGGGCGCAAGACCUGGGGAGGAAAGGUAGCGAAAGCUGCCGCUCUUGGAGGGGCUCGCGGCCUAUCAGCUAGUUGGUGAGGUAACGGCUCACCAAGGCUAUGACGGGUAGCUGGUCUGAGAGGACGACCAGCCACACGGGAACUGAGACACGGUCCCGACUCCUACGGGAGGCAGCAGUGGGGAAUUUUCCGCAAUGGGCGAAAGCCUGACGGAGUGACGCCGCGUGGGGGACGAAGGCCUUCGGGUCGUAAACCCCUGUCAGAGGGAAAGAAGGGUGCUGGCUUGAAUAGCGCCGGCAUCUGACGGUACCUUCAGAGGAAGCCCCGGCCAACUCUGUGCCAGCAGCCGCGGUAAGACAGAGGGCGCAAGCGUUGCUCGGAAUCACUGGGCGUAAAGGGCGCGUAGGCGGGAUGGCAAGUCGGUCGUGAAAUCCUUCGGCUCAACCGAAGAACGUCGGCCGAUACUGCCGUUCUUGAGGGAUGCAGAGGAGAUUGGAAUUCCCGGUGUAGCGGUGAAAUGUGUAGAGAUCGGGAGGAACACCGGUGGCGAAGGCGGGUCUCUGGGCAUCUCCUGACGCUGAGGCGCGAAAGCGUGGGGAGCAAACGUGAUUAGAUACCCCGGUAGUCC
RNAcentral lists this ribosomal RNA (813 nucleotides) under uncultured bacterium. Its description in RNAcentral is "bacterial SSU rRNA". It matches the Rfam family "Bacterial small subunit ribosomal RNA", at positions 8 to 796 of the family's 1533-position model. The record is from RNAcentral.